GCAGAAUUGACCGGGGCUGCCUAAUACAUGCAAGUCGAGCGAACUGAUUAGAAGCUUGCUUCUAUGACGAUAGCGGCGGACGGGUGAGUAACACGUGGGCAACCUGCCUGUAAGACUGGGAUAACUCCGGGAAACCGGAGCUAAUACCGGAUAACAUUUUCUCUUGCAUAAGAGAAAAUUGAAAGUUCCGUUUCGGCUAUCACUUACAGAUGGGCCCGCGGUGCAUUAGCUAGUUGGUGAGGUAACGGCUCACCAAGGCAACGAUGCAUAGCCGACCUGAGAGGGUGAUCGGCCACACUGGGACUGAGACACGGCCCAGACUCCUACGGGAGGCAGCAGUAGGGAAUCUUCCGCAAUGGACGAAAGUCUGACGGAGCAACGCCGCGUGAGUGAUGAAGGCUUUCGGGUCGUAAAUCUCUGUUGUUAGGGAAGAACAAGUACAAGAGUAACUGCUUGUACCUUGACGGUACCUAACCAGAAAGCCACGGCUAACUACGUGCCAGCAGCCGCGGUAAUACGUAGGUGGGAAGCGGUAUCCGGAAUUAUUGGGCGUAAAGCGCGCGCA
RNAcentral lists this ribosomal RNA (565 nucleotides) under Bacillus licheniformis. Its description in RNAcentral is "bacterial SSU rRNA". It matches the Rfam family "Bacterial small subunit ribosomal RNA", at positions 24 to 573 of the family's 1533-position model. Lineage: Bacteria; Bacillati; Bacillota; Bacilli; Caryophanales; Bacillaceae. The record is from RNAcentral.